Molecule: non-coding RNA, 45 nt
Filed under: Schistosoma mansoni
Lineage: Eukaryota; Metazoa; Platyhelminthes; Trematoda; Strigeidida; Schistosomatidae
Source: RNAcentral
AUCCAGAUGACGAGCCCCAAAUAGGGCGAAACGCAUGUCUUACAU